This 2453-nucleotide long non-coding RNA is filed under the name Homo sapiens (human). RNAcentral's name for it is "long non-coding RNA NONHSAT180045.1". The record is from RNAcentral. Lineage: Eukaryota; Metazoa; Chordata; Mammalia; Primates; Hominidae.
CCAGCAGUACGGACGAGGUGCUGUCCCUGGAGGAGAAAGACCUGAGGGACCGGGAGAGGCGCAUGGCCAAUAACGCGCGGGAGCGGGUGCGCGUGCGGGAUAUUAACGAGGCCUUCCGGGAGCUGGGGCGCAUGUGCCAGAUGCACCUCAAGUCGGACAAAGCGCAGACCAAGCUGCUCAUCCUGCAGCAGGCCGUGCAGGUCAUCCUGGGGCUGGAGCAGCAGGUGCGAGAGCGGAACCUGAAUCCCAAAGCAGCCUGUUUGAAACGGCGAGAAGAGGAAAAGGUGUCAGGUGUGGUUGGAGACCCCCAGAUGGUGCUUUCAGCUCCCCACCCAGGCCUGAGCGAAGCCCACAACCCCGCCGGGCACAUGUGAAAGUAAACAAAACCUGAAAGCAAGCAACAAAACAUACACUUUGUCAGAGAAGAAAAAAAUGCCUUAACUAUAAAAAGCGGAGAAAUGGAAACAUAUCACUCAAGGGGGAUGCUGUGGAAACCUGGCUUAUUCUUCUAAAGCCACCAGCAAAUUGUGCCUAAGCGAAAUAUUUUUUUUAAGGAAAAUAAAAACAUUAGUUACAAGAUUUUUUUUUUCUUAAUGUAGAUGAAAAUUAGCAAGGAUGCUGCCUUUGGUCUCUGGUUUUUUUAAGCUUUUUUUGCAUAUGUUUUGUAAGCAACAAAUUUUUUUGUAUAAAAGUCCCGUGUCUCUCGCUAUUUCUGCUGCUGUUCCUAGACUGAGCAUUGCAUUUCUUGAUCAACCAGAUGAUUAAACGUUGUAUUAAAAAGACCCCGUGUAAACCUGAGCCCCCCCGUCCCCCCCCCCCCCCGGAAGCCACUGCACACAGACAGAACGGGGACAGGCGGCGGGUCUUUUGUUUUUUUGAUGUUGGGGGUUCUCUUGGUUUUGUCAUGUGGAAAGUGAUGCGUGGGCGUUCCCUGAUGAAGGCACCUUGGGGCUUCCCUGCCGCAUCCUCUCCCCUCAGGAAGGGGACUGACCUGGGCUUGGGGGAAGGGACGUCAGCAAGGUGGCUCUGACCCUCCCAGGUGACUCUGCCAAGCAGCUGUGGCCCCCAGGGCUACCCUACACAACGCCCUCCCCAGGCCCCCCUAAGCUGCUCUCCCUUGGAACCUGCACAGCUCUCUGAAAUGGGGCAUUUUGUUGGGACCAGUGACCCCUGGCAUGGGGACCACACCCUGGAGCCCGGUGCUGGGGACCUCCUGGACACCCUGUCCUUCACUCCUUUGCCCCAGGGACCCAGGCUCAUGCUCUGAACUCUGGCUGAGAGGAUGCUGCUCAGGAGCCAGCACAGGACACCCCCCACCCCACCCCACCAUGUCCCCAUUACACCAGAGGGCCAUCGUGACGUAGACAGGAUGCCAGGGGCCUGGCCAGCCUCCCCCAAUGCUGGGGAGCAUCCCUGGGCCUGGGGCCACACCUGCUGCCCUCCCUCUGUGUGGUCCAAGGGCAAGAGUGGCUGGAGCCGGGGGACUGUGCUGGUCUGAGCCCCACGAAGGCCUUGGGCUGUGCGUCCGACCCUGCUGCAGAACCAGCAGGGUGUCCCCUCGGGCCCAUCUGUGUCCCAUGUCCCAGCACCCAGGCCUCUCUCCAGGUCUCCUUUUCUGGUCUUUUGCCAUGAGGGUAACCAGCUCUUCCCAGCUGGCUGGGGACUGUCUUGGGUUUAAAACUGCAAGUCUCCUACCCUGGGAUCCCAUCCAGUUCCACACGAACUAGGGCAGUGGUCACUGUGGCACCCAGGUGUGGGCCUGGCUAGCUGGGGGCCUUCAUGUGCCCUUCAUGCCCCUCCCUGCAUUGAGGCCUUGUGGACCCCUGGGCUGGCUGUGUUCAUCCCCGCUGCAGGUCGGGCGUCUCCCCCCGUGCCACUCCUGAGACUCCCACCGUUACCCCCAGGAGAUCCUGGACUGCCUGACUCCCCUCCCCAGACUGGCUUGGGAGCCUGGGCCCCAUGGUAGAUGCAAGGGAAACCUCAAGGCCAGCUCAAUGCCUGGUAUCUGCCCCCAGUCCAGGCCAGGCGGAGGGGAGGGGCUGUCCGGCUGCCUCUCCCUUCUCGGUGGCUUCCCCUACGCCCUGGGAGUUUGAUCUCUUAAGGGAACUUGCCUCUCCCUCUUGUUUUGCUCCUGGCCCUGCCCCUAGGUCUGGGUGGGCAGUGGCCCCAUAGCCUCUGGAACUGUGCGUUCUGCAUAGAAUUCAAACGAGAUUCACCCAGCGCGAGGAGGAAGAAACAGCAGUUCCUGGGAACCACAAUUAUGGGGGGUGGGGGGUGUGAUCUGAGUGCCUCAAGAUGGUUUUCAAAAAAAUUUUUUUAAAGAAAAUAAUUGUAUACGUGUCAACACAGCUGGCUGGAUGAUUGGGACUUUAAAACGACCCUCUUUCAGGUGGAUUCAGAGACCUGUCCUGUAUAUAACAGCACUGUAGCAAUAAACGUGACAUUUUAUAACG